AGAGCAGUGGCUUAACAGUUACAGCACUGGCUGUUCUUCCAGAAGACCUGGGUUCAAUUCCCAGCACCUCAA
This 72-nucleotide transfer RNA is filed under the name Neotoma lepida (desert woodrat). It matches the Rfam family "tRNA". Rfam says of the family: Transfer RNA (tRNA) molecules are approximately 80 nucleotides in length. Their secondary structure includes four short double-helical elements and three loops (D, anti-codon, and T loops). Lineage: Eukaryota; Metazoa; Chordata; Mammalia; Rodentia; Cricetidae. The record is from Rfam by way of RNAcentral.